UACGUAGGGGGCAAGCGUUUUCCGGAUUCCUUGGGCGUAAAGAGCGUUUCGGCUGCCAGGUAGGUCGGUUGUGAAAACUGGAGGCUCAACCUUCAGAGGUCGACCGAAACCAUCUGGCUAGAGUCCGGGAGAGGAGAGUGGAAUUCCUGGUGUAGCGGUGAAAUGCGCAGAUAUCAGGAAGAACACCCGUGGCGAAAGCUGCUCUCUGGAACGGUACUGACGCUGAGACGCGAAAGCGUGGGGAGCGAACAGG
RNAcentral lists this ribosomal RNA (253 nucleotides) under uncultured bacterium. RNAcentral describes it as "partial 16S ribosomal RNA". It matches the Rfam family "Bacterial small subunit ribosomal RNA", at positions 524 to 776 of the family's 1533-position model. The record is from RNAcentral.